UACGAAGGGUGCUAGCGUUGUUCGGAAUUACUGGGCGUAAAGCGCGCGUAGGCGGCUAUACAAGUCAGAGGUGAAAUCCCGGGGCUCAACCCCGGAACUGCCUUUGAAACUGUAUAGCUGGAGUGUGUGAGGGGAUGGCGGAAUUCCUAAUGUAGAGGUGAAAUUCGUAGAUAUUAGGAGGAACACCGGUGGCGAAGGCGGCCAUCUGGCACACAACUGACGCUGAGGCGCGAAAGCGUGGGGAUCAAACAGG
This 253-nucleotide ribosomal RNA is filed under the name uncultured bacterium. Its description in RNAcentral is "partial 16S ribosomal RNA". It matches the Rfam family "Bacterial small subunit ribosomal RNA", at positions 524 to 776 of the family's 1533-position model. The record is from RNAcentral.